AUACGGAGGAUGCGAGCGUUAUCCGGAUUUAUUGGGUUUAAAGGGUGCGUAGGCGGGCUGUUAAGCGUGAGGUGAAAGCUCGGGGCUCAACCCCGGAACUGCCUCGCGAACUGGCGGUCUUGAAUGUCCGUGCCGUGGGAGGAAUGUGUGAUGUAGCGGUGAAAUGCAUAGAGAUCACACAGAACACCGAUUGCGAAGGCAUCUCACGAACGGAUGAUUGACGCUGAGGCACGAAAGCGUGGGGAUCAAACAGGAUUAGAUACCCUGGUAGUCCACGCAGUAAACGAUGAUGGCUAACCGCUGGGCUUAUCAGUUCAGUGGCCAAGCGAAAGCGAUAAGCCAUCCACCUGGGGAGUACGACCGCAAGGUUGAAACUCAAAUGAAUUGACGGGG
RNAcentral lists this ribosomal RNA (393 nucleotides) under uncultured bacterium. Its description in RNAcentral is "partial 16S ribosomal RNA". It matches the Rfam family "Bacterial small subunit ribosomal RNA", at positions 523 to 918 of the family's 1533-position model. The record is from RNAcentral.